This 253-nucleotide ribosomal RNA is filed under the name uncultured bacterium. RNAcentral describes it as "partial 16S ribosomal RNA". It matches the Rfam family "Bacterial small subunit ribosomal RNA", at positions 524 to 776 of the family's 1533-position model. The record is from RNAcentral.
UACGUAGGGGGCAAGCGUUGUCCGGAAUCAUUGGGCGUAAAGCGCGUGUAGGCGGUUCGGUAAGUCUGCUGUGAAAGUCCAGGGCUCAACCCUGGGAUGCCGGUGGAUACUGUCGGGCUAGAGUACGGAAGAGGCGAGUGGAAUUCCCGGCGUAGCGGUGAAAUGCGCAGAUAUCGGGAGGAACACCAAUUGCGAAGGCAGCUCGCUGGGACGUCACUGACGCUGAGACGCGAAAGCGUGGGGAGCAAACAGG